GGGGCUCAGUGGUAGAGCGCGUGCUUAGCAUGCACAAGGUCCUGGGUUCAAUUCUCAGGGCCCA
This 64-nucleotide transfer RNA is filed under the name Camelus bactrianus (Bactrian camel). It matches the Rfam family "tRNA". Rfam says of the family: Transfer RNA (tRNA) molecules are approximately 80 nucleotides in length. RNAcentral also lists the same sequence under 2 other names. Lineage: Eukaryota; Metazoa; Chordata; Mammalia; Artiodactyla; Camelidae. The record is from Rfam by way of RNAcentral.